UACAGGGGGGUGCAAACGUUGCUCGGAAUCAUUGGGCGUAAAGCGCACGUAGGCGGUCUGUUAUGUCGGAUGUGAAAGCCCUCGGCUCAACUGAGGAAGUGCAUCCGAAACUGGCAGGCUAGAGUACUAAAGAGGGUCGCGGAAUUCCCGGUGUAGCGGUGAAAUGCGUAGAUAUCAGGAGGAACACCGGUGGCGAAGGCGGCUAUCUGGACAGAGUCUAGCGCGAGGCGCGAAAGCUAGGGGAGCAAACAGG
RNAcentral lists this ribosomal RNA (253 nucleotides) under uncultured bacterium. Its description in RNAcentral is "partial 16S ribosomal RNA". It matches the Rfam family "Bacterial small subunit ribosomal RNA", at positions 524 to 776 of the family's 1533-position model. The record is from RNAcentral.